Non-coding RNA from Triticum aestivum (bread wheat), 175 nucleotides. The record is from Rfam. NCBI's taxonomy places the organism in Eukaryota, Viridiplantae, Streptophyta, Magnoliopsida, Poales, Poaceae.
GCCAUGAAGAGGAAGAAAGAGAGAGCUCAAGAGCACUGGGAAUGGGAACAUGGAGGAAAGACCUUAUUUUUUAUUUGCACCUCUAGUGUUGGGGCUGCAGAUAUUUCAUAUGGAUUCUUUCCUGAUGCCUCCCAUUCCUACUGUUCUUGUGCACUCCUUCCUCUUCCUUUUGGUU